GCAAAGUUGACUGGAUAUGAGCACAAUGCAGUGACAUGUAUUGGCAUGAAAACUGAGAUACCUGUUAUUUUGGAUGAAGCGAUUGUAAGGCUGAAUCCUGAUUUCUUCUGGCUGGGUGGUGGGGAGGUAGAUCUGAAGCUUGGGAUAAAUACCUCAGAAUUUAUCAAUUUUGUUAAACCUUUCAUUGUUGGAUGUAGUAGCGCAUGAUUAACCCAAAUGAAACCUUUUUUGGACUACAUGAAAAGGACAAGGCUGUUAGACCAAUAGAUGAGGAAUUAGCAUUUUCAUCAAGAUAUGUUGUGGAAAACUCGGGCUUUUCAGGAUAGAAAUCUUUGGAGAAGAAAUUUUUUAUUUGCAUAAUUUUCUUUUGUUGGUAUUUUCCAAGGCACUGAAUUUAAAUUGGAAGAUCUGUAUUGGAUAUUUAUACACAUUCAUUAUUGUGAUUAUCAGAUGAUAUGGCAUU
Molecule: unclassified non-coding RNA, 463 nt
Filed under: Hevea brasiliensis (rubber tree)
Lineage: Eukaryota; Viridiplantae; Streptophyta; Magnoliopsida; Malpighiales; Euphorbiaceae
Source: RNAcentral